Molecule: non-coding RNA, 21 nt
Filed under: Caenorhabditis elegans
Lineage: Eukaryota; Metazoa; Nematoda; Chromadorea; Rhabditida; Rhabditidae
Source: RNAcentral
UCUACAGCCAGUUUUUACAGA